UACAGAGGGUGCAAGCGUUGUUCGAAAUUAUUGGGCGUAAAGCGCGCGCAGGCGGUCAACUAAGUCACUUGUGAAAUCUCUGGGCUCAACCCAGAAAAGUCUAGUGAUACUGGUUGACUCGAGUACGAGAGGGGAGAGCGGAAUUCCCAGUGUAGUGGUGAAAUACGUAGAUAUUGGGAGGAACACCGGUGGCGAAGGCGGCUCUCUGGUUCGAUACUGACGCUGAGGCGCGAAAGCGUGGGGAGCAAACAGG
Molecule: ribosomal RNA, 253 nt
Filed under: uncultured bacterium
Lineage: Bacteria
Description: partial 16S ribosomal RNA
Rfam family: Bacterial small subunit ribosomal RNA
Source: RNAcentral